GCGGCGCUGAGGAGGCUCAGGGAGCCCCGGGGGGGGUCGGUGCGGGGACCGGGCGGACCCGCAGGUCUGGCGGAACCCGCCCCAGCGCCUUUAACUUUUAUUCUUCCUGCCGAAGAUUUAAAGCGGCUUCGUACAACAGUCAAACAAGAGUCUCUUCCUCCAGCCUGAGCCCGAUGGGAAUGUCCCCCCUCCUCUGGCUGGGACAAAUCCACUCGAAUUCCCGAAAAACGCCCGGCCCCGCUCCCCGAGGGCUCGGCGUACGCGCAGAUCUAUGGACACACACCUGGACGGAGAUCAAAACUGAUCUGCCGGGGAAUACCUAAUAAAAAAAGGGAGCAUCGUCUCUUCCCAGAGGGAAGAAAAAUGAAAAGCAGAAAAACAACGUGUUGACUCGCCCAGCGAGGUUGCCUUUGAUGUAUGAACGCUGCCCAAACCCCAGCCUUGUUAAAUGAAGACUUUCCAUGAAGAAUGACAAUAGAAUUGGUGAUAUUUUUUUGUUAGCCCAGACCCCAAGCGAUGCCAGCCUGCCCUCCGCUUCCUCCGACGCCUCAACUGCGGAUGCUGGAGGACAACUUACCCAUUAAUUCGCGACCUAUUGCAUCAACGCCGAGCUCAAGAGCGGCUUAAGAUGCUCUUUCCCAGGAAUACAAACAACUUUACGUGGAAAAAAAAAAAACCCGUGUGCGUGUCUGUAUACAUCCACGUGCGUGAUUAAACAUGUGUGUGCACAGGAUAGAUAAAUGACAAACCAAUAGAGACACCCUGUGCCCUCACUGCAGAAUUUUAUGCGGUCUUUACCGCCGUUCUUCAGACAAAAAAAAAGGGGUCUUGGUUGGGGUACGUUGUGUUUUUCUUUUCUUUCCGUGAUUCCUGCCCAGGCUCUAAAUGCAGCUCUGGAUCCUCGGUCACAAAUAUAAGCAAUCCUCGAGUAAUUGCUUACACAUGCGACGGGAGAACGCGUCCCGUCCCGCGCUCACCGCCCCUCAGCGCGCCUUGCGGAGCGGUCAGUGUCUUGG
Molecule: long non-coding RNA, 1016 nt
Organism: Chroicocephalus ridibundus (black-headed gull)
Lineage: Eukaryota; Metazoa; Chordata; Aves; Charadriiformes; Laridae
Exons: 3
Source: RefSeq, a predicted model, not a curated record